AUUGAACGCUGGCGGAAUGCUUUACACAUGCAAGUCGAACGGUAGAGGGGGCAACCCCUCGAGAGUGGCGAACGGGUGAGUAAUAUAUCGGAACGUGCCCAGUCGUGGGGGAUAACGUAGCGAAAGUUACGCUAAUACCGCAUACGAUCUAAGGAUGAAAGCGGGGGAUCGCAAGAACUCGCGCGAUUGGAGCGGCCGAUAUCAGAUUAGGUAGUUGGUGGGGUAAAGGAUCACCAAGCCAACGAUCUGUAGCUGGUCUGAGAGGACGACCAGCCACACUGGAACUGAGACACGGUCCAGACUCCUACGGGAGUCAGCAGUGGGGAAUUUUGGACAAUGGACGCAAGUCUGAUCCAGCCAUUCCGCGUGCAGGAUGAAGGCCCUCGGGUUGUAAACUGCUUUUGUACGGAACGAAAAGGUCUCUCUUAAUACGGGGGGCUCAUGACGGUACCGUAAGAAUAAGCACCGGCUAACUACGUGCCAGCAGCCGCCGUAA
This 496-nucleotide ribosomal RNA is filed under the name uncultured bacterium. Its description in RNAcentral is "partial 16S ribosomal RNA". It matches the Rfam family "Bacterial small subunit ribosomal RNA", at positions 30 to 523 of the family's 1533-position model. The record is from RNAcentral.